CUGCCUUGAGGAACGCGGCCUGGCCGGUGGGAGAGCGGAGUUCGUCCACGGGCCUCUCCUCUUCCAGCUUUGCUCCUCCCAGCUUCGGAAAAGGCGGAGCAGGCGAAAUUCUGUGUUCCCAAAGACUAGAGACUUUGCCGGUUCCUGCUCAGUAGCGCAGGGUUUUGCUCUGUCGGCUAGGCUGGAAUGCAGUGGUUGGGUCAUGACCCACUGCAGCUGUUACUGGAAAGAGGUCCUGAUCCAGAUCCCAAGAGAGGGCUCUCGGUUAUCACCCAAGAAAAAAUUUGAGGGUGAGGCUAUUUAGCCAUCUGAAAUCGGAUUCCUCAGCAACUUCACCACACUCGGGACUGUGGAGACUGCUCUGUGCUCUCAGGAAACUACUGUCUUAAGGUGGAAGUCCAAGAAUCCACGUGGAGACUCACUGAGGCAAAGGGGCCAACCAUGGGAAAGAGCGGAUGGGGCUCAGGCAGGGCUGCUGUAGCAGCUGUGAUCUGAGGAGGUCUUUCCCGAGAGCACAGCAGACACCACCUCCACAGGAAGAUGUCAGGGAGGUCUGGGGGGUCUGUCUCAUGGGGCCAACCCCACAUCUCCACUUUGCUGCAUUUGUGGCUGUGGUGACUGUGCCUGUGGGGCUCAGUGCCAUGGGCUUCACCUCAGGAGGAAUCACUGCGUCCUCCAUGGCAGCCCAGAUGAUGGAGGGGGUGGAGUUGCCGCGGGCAGCGUGAUGGCUACUCUGCAGUCAGUGGGGGCAGCUGGACUCUCCGUGACAUCUGGAGUCAUCCUGAGCUCUGCUGGGUCAGCUCUUGGAGCCUGGCUGGGUUGCUUUUGCACCCUCAGCUGAAUACUGCACUGAAGCAGGGAGGUGACUCUCUUGAUGGAGAUGACUCUCCUGGGCCUCUGAAGGACAGUCUUCAAAGGACAAGUCCCCUACUGCCAAAAUCAUCCAAGGAAGCAUGAAAAAUAAAGACAAGAGGCUGCUGAUCUUCUCCUAGCAUCAGUUCCCUGUUCUUGUGGUCAGGAUAGAGCACAGCGCUGCAGCAGGAGUGCGGGGCAGGGAGGGACUCAAGAGGAAGGAGCAUGGGAUGUCUGUGACCAGAGCCAGUCUGACUCCAGGCUUUCCACUCACUCUGUGGUCCUGAGCAGGUCAUGUCUGCCCUUUGAGCCUCAGUUUGCUGCUCUUCAGAUCAGGGAGGCAGCCAGAGUCAGCGUUAUAGGAUGGUGUGGCUCUUGGGUCAGUGCUUGAGCCAUUGAUGCUCAAUUACGAAGCCCUUUGUCCCCAUGCCUGACUGAUCCCUUCCUUUUCCACCCAGGACUCAGGGUGUGGCUGUAUGAUUACUCUAGAAGUUGAACAAUACUGCGUUUGCCUGGCCGAUGGGCCUUCUCCAUACAGAUAGAAAAGUUUCAUUCCUCCAGGGAACUCUGUCCCUCUCGGCACAGAGCCCAGGCUCCUUAGCCCUCAGAUGGACUGAGCAGAGCCUGUGAGGAUGGACAAGGGGCUGGGAUUCCUGAGAAGUAGGCCGAUGCAGAACACCCAUUUCCAGAGACCUACUAUGUGCCUGGCACCUGAUUUGGGACCUACUGUGUGCCUGGCCCCAGAUCAGGUGCCAGGUGUCCUAUGCACACUAUGCACACUGACCUGUUGUCUGCCACCCGGCACCUGCUUGGCCGUUAGAAUAAGCCACAGUUGACUUCUGGAAAGCCUGUUAAGAUUUGGCCUCUGAUCUCAACCUCGGUCCCACUCUGGGCUGUUUGACCUUCACACUUAUUAUUCCUUUACAGCUGUAUUCCCAUAGGGCUCUCUCUGGGAUGCUGACUGAGCUGACUCCCACAGCUCCCAACUGGCCUCAAGGGCUCCAUCCCACAUGAUCCCCCUGGCUGCAGAGGAUCACAGAGAUCCAUCUCUGCCCUGGGUGCACAAUGUUGGGGAAGCCAGCCCUUAACCAAUGAUGUUAAGGGACUUGGGGUAAAUUACAGAAAUGACCACAUUCUCCUCCCUUUCAGCAUGGCUGUACAGCUCCUCCCAUCAAGAAGUAGGAGUUUCUUUCCCCUCCCUUUGAAUCUCUUCUGGCCCGGGGAGUUGCUCUGGCAGAUAGAACGCAGUGGAAGUGAUGGCAUGCUAAUCUUGAGCCUAGUCCCUAAGAAACCCUGCAGCCUUCUGCUGCAACGCCUGGUCCCCAUCACUGCUAUGAGAACAAGUCAGGCUGGACAAGCACACAAGGCCCAUUCAUUCCAGACAAGGCCCCAGACAUGGGAACGAGCCCAGGUGAGAUCUGCGAAAGCCGACCUGCAGCUACCUGCAGAUGGUUGAGGGACCCAGCUGAGACCAGAAGAACCACCUGCCUAGAUUGCUGACCCACAGAAUCAUGAGCUACGUAACUCUUUUAAGCCACUAAAUAGUGUGGUCACUUUUUAUCCAGCCACAGGUAACACAACAUAAGACAAUGUGUACAGUCCCUGAAGAGGAUCAGGCUAUAUGGCUCAUAGGACAGAGAAGGCAGAGGUUGAUUCUAAUUGUAGCUACCUGAAAAGACUUCCUGGAGUAAGUGCUGUGUUACUUAAGGAUUAUGUAGUUGUAAGUACUAGAAAUUUGACAGCACCUUGCUCAGAGUUCAAGGGAUUUCAUUGAUUUACUAAAUGAAAAAGUCCAAAGGGAAAGUAUGUUUCAGGCAAGAUUUGAUUCAGCAGCACAAUGUGGAUGUCAAAGACCUGUCUUCUGUUCUUCAUUUCUGAGGCAUCAGCUACAUCCGGUGCCUGCCAGCUCUCUCAGUUACAAGGCAGCUGUUAGCAGGCUCUGGAAGCUACCUUCUUUAUUCAUGUCUCCCAGAAAGAACCUUUUUUUCAUGCACUUUCUCCUGAAAAGCAAAGAAACGUCUUUCCCAAAUACUUCUAGUAAAUGUUAAUGCUGCUAUCUUAAA
Cebus imitator (Panamanian white-faced capuchin) is the source of this 2915-nucleotide long non-coding RNA. RefSeq lists it as uncharacterized. The transcript has 7 exons. Lineage: Eukaryota; Metazoa; Chordata; Mammalia; Primates; Cebidae. The record is from RefSeq and is a predicted model, not a curated record.